Vigna unguiculata (cowpea) is the source of this 92-nucleotide long non-coding RNA. Lineage: Eukaryota; Viridiplantae; Streptophyta; Magnoliopsida; Fabales; Fabaceae. The record is from RefSeq and is a predicted model, not a curated record.
UGCAGUUCUUCAACUUCAGAUUCUUUGGUGACUUCAUCAUAUGUGAAGGAGAAAAUGGAGAAUACAUCCUGGUGCCUUGGGGAGUCAAAAGA